RNAcentral lists this transfer RNA (72 nucleotides) under Capra hircus (goat). It matches the Rfam family "tRNA". Rfam says of the family: Transfer RNA (tRNA) molecules are approximately 80 nucleotides in length. Their secondary structure includes four short double-helical elements and three loops (D, anti-codon, and T loops). The record is from Rfam by way of RNAcentral. Lineage: Eukaryota; Metazoa; Chordata; Mammalia; Artiodactyla; Bovidae. RNAcentral also lists the same sequence under 1 other name.
UCCCUGGUGGCUCAGCUGGUAAAGAAUCUGCCUGCAAUGCAGGAGACCUGGGUUCAACCCCUGGGUUGGGAA